RNAcentral lists this long non-coding RNA (261 nucleotides) under Helianthus annuus (common sunflower). RNAcentral describes it as "sRNA HanXRQr2_Chr02g0085441". The record is from RNAcentral. Lineage: Eukaryota; Viridiplantae; Streptophyta; Magnoliopsida; Asterales; Asteraceae.
AUGUGUCUUGUUGAGGUUGAGAAGUCUCCGAAACCUGUUGCUUCGUGUGCAAUGCCUGCACUUCCAGUUGGGUGAAGAUGAUGAUGGUGAUGAAGAUGACUUGGUCUGCUGAUGAAGAUGAUGGAAGUAAAAGUAAACAAAAAUUAUAAAGAGAGUUAAUAAGCAAGGGUAUUUUGGUCAUUUGACAUGGACUUAACUGAGAAAUUUAAGUGAUGUUAGGGCUGGGGACCAACCGAGUGCAUUUUUGACAAGUUUUGGGAC